Molecule: long non-coding RNA, 745 nt
Organism: Rhododendron vialii
Lineage: Eukaryota; Viridiplantae; Streptophyta; Magnoliopsida; Ericales; Ericaceae
Exons: 2
Source: RefSeq, a predicted model, not a curated record
UCUACAUCUCAUUCUCUCUACUGCUUUAGAAAACAUACACAGUGACUGAUCAUAUUCGGUUCAUAUAUACAUAUUUGUUCGUGAGUUUGAUUCGCUGCACCGAAGAGAACUUGAAGGUCGUUGUAUCUUGGGGAAAGAACGCCAUCCAACCCCGUGUAGAAGGGGAUGUAUCAUUCCUUAGGAGGGCGCCAUCACGUGCCUCAACCACCCCACAGGCUAUUCUUAUCUUUUCUCUAAUAAUAUCUAGUUGCCUUACUUGGUUGAUUAUUGUUCUUGUUUAGGCAUUUAAUUUCUAGCAAAAAUAUCCUAAUCAUAUAAUUUUCCCAACAAAUUAUUCACCAAAACCAUGAGAUUUCAAAUAUUGGUCACUACGUAGAGAAGGAACAUUGUUUCCUCGUUCUAAAUCAGAGAUAUGUACCUAUGGCAACAAAGCGUACCACCCAGAAAGCAUUCGAACUCGACAUAAGGACUAACUUCUAAACAACAAAAUGGCAUUGAAACACACCAAACUGGCAAAUAAGUUCACAUUCAAUAUUUUCUAUUUUCAGACAAAUUACUGGUCAUUUUCAAUAAUCAUAUGCCUUUUCUGCCACUUAAACUUCUUAAUUAGAUUUCCAAGUACCAAAAGCAAUCCAUAACCAUUUUGUCAUCAGUAAUGCUUUAGAAUGGACUAUCAUUUUUAGAAACACAAGUGGCCGAUCCUCAAAAAAAAAAGAAAAAAAGAAAAAAAAAGAAGAGAAAAUUG